GGAGAAACCAUGGCUAGGGUUUUUCAAGCUUCCAAGCUCGAUUGUUUUGGUCAAGAUGUGGUUGGAUUAUGCCACAUUAAACUUAUAAGUUAUGCAUUGAGAUGGAAAUGGAAUGCUUUGAGGCAGCCUUGAAGACCAAACUUAAAAAGGAAAUUGCUUUAAAAUCAAGCCCUAAGCUUCUUUCUUUUUUAGGAUAUUAGAAUUGUUGUCAAUAUAGGAGGAUAUAGGUUUGAGUGUGGUGAAUCGCAUUAUCCUCUUAUUUAUGGGUUGGGGAGGGGCUAUGAAUAGUUUUAACCAUUGUAUCUAAAAGAAUAGAUAUAACCAGAACCUAUAAUGAGAUUAUUCAAAAAAAUUAAAUAAAAAUUAUAAUUCUUAAUCAUUAAUGUAAAAAGAUUAACCCAAAUUGAUAAAAAAAG
Molecule: long non-coding RNA, 416 nt
Organism: Gossypium raimondii (Peruvian cotton)
Lineage: Eukaryota; Viridiplantae; Streptophyta; Magnoliopsida; Malvales; Malvaceae
Exons: 3
Source: RefSeq, a predicted model, not a curated record